This 495-nucleotide ribosomal RNA is filed under the name uncultured bacterium. RNAcentral describes it as "partial 16S ribosomal RNA". It matches the Rfam family "Bacterial small subunit ribosomal RNA", at positions 28 to 507 of the family's 1533-position model. The record is from RNAcentral.
GAUGAACGCUGGCGGCGUGCCUAAUACAUGCAAGUAGAACGCUGAAGGAGGAGCUUGCUCUUCUGGAUGAGUUGCGAACGGGUGAGUAACGCGUAGGUAACCUGCCUGGUAGCGGGGGAUAACUAUUGGAAACGAUAGCUAAUACCGCAUGACAACAGUUAUUGCAUGAUAACUGUUUAAAAGGGGCAACAGCUCCACUACCAGAUGGACCUGCGUUGUAUUAGCUAGUUGGUGAGGUAACGGCUCACCAAGGCGACGAUACAUAGCCGACCUGAGAGGGUGAUCGGCCACACUGGGACUGAGACACGGCCCAGACUCCUACGGGAGGCAGCAGUAGGGAAUCUUCGGCAAUGGACGGAAGUCUGACCGAGCAACGCCGCGUGAGUGAAGAAGGUUUUCGGAUCGUAAAGCUCUGUUGUAAGAGAAGAACGAGUGUGAGAGUGGAAAGUUCACACUGUGACGGUAUCUUACCAGAAAGGGACGGCUAACUACGUG